Long non-coding RNA from Daphnia carinata, 448 nucleotides. RefSeq lists it as uncharacterized. The transcript has 2 exons. NCBI's taxonomy places the organism in Eukaryota, Metazoa, Arthropoda, Branchiopoda, Diplostraca, Daphniidae. The record is from RefSeq and is a predicted model, not a curated record.
GUCUAGUCACGCAGUCGACUCCUUCCAGCUCUGAAUCUGUCAUCUUUUGCUAUUGCAACCUCUAUAACUUGGAAUAUUUUCAAAUUAAUUUACAUUUGAUUUCCUUAAAACAUAAAAGAACAAACAAUUUUUCUUAGUCCGAAAUGAAAGCUACAAUGUUCGUGAUCUUUGGCCUCCUUUUGGUCAUGGCAACAUCGUCAGUUCAUACAACUCCGCUGAAAAUCGAGACGCAAGUUGCGAUGGAAGAACCUCGUUCGCGUGUAGCAAGGAGAAUCUUCCCGUGCAGAAUCACUCGUCCAGGUUUUCGCCAUUGUCCUUGGGGUUCAUUCCGUGGGGGCUGUAAAUGCUGAAAUAUCUUUUAAACAUUAGCCAAUUAUCUGGCAUUUUUUAACAUGGAACAAUUGAAUAGUCAUUGUACGAAAAUGAAUACACACAAUUAGUGAUCGUU